GAUUAACGCUAGCGGCAGGCCUAAUACAUGCAAGUCGAGGGGCAGCAGGGUGUAGCAAUACAUCGCUGGCGACCGGCGCACGGGUGCGUAACACGUAUGCAACCUACCUUUAACUGGGGAAUAGCCCUCCGAAAGGAGGAUUAACACCGCAUAACAUCACGAGACGGCAUCGCCUUGUGAUCAAACCUCCGGGGGUUAAAGAUGGGCAUGCGUCCGAUUAGCUAGUUGGCGGGGUAACGGCCCACCAAGGCGACGAUCGGUAGGGGGUCUGAGAGGAUGAUCCCCCACACUGGUACUGAGACACGGACCAGACUCCUACGGGAGGCAGCAGUAAGGAAUAUUGGACAAUGGUCGCAAGACUGAUCCAGCCAUGCCGCGUGCAGGAUGAACGAUCUAUGAUCUGUAAACUGCUUUUGUUCGGGAAUAAACCCCUUACGUGUGGAGGGCUGAAUGUACCGAAAGAAUAAGGGUCGGCUAACUUCGUGCCAGCAGCCG
This 495-nucleotide ribosomal RNA is filed under the name uncultured bacterium. RNAcentral describes it as "bacterial SSU rRNA". It matches the Rfam family "Bacterial small subunit ribosomal RNA", at positions 28 to 517 of the family's 1533-position model. The record is from RNAcentral.